This 1368-nucleotide ribosomal RNA is filed under the name Triticum aestivum (bread wheat). Its description in RNAcentral is "partial small subunit ribosomal RNA". The record is from RNAcentral. Lineage: Eukaryota; Viridiplantae; Streptophyta; Magnoliopsida; Poales; Poaceae.
AUGGGAUUUAGGGACAUCCAUUGCUUUAAUCUAGCGCUACUAGCAAAACAAGCAUGGCGUUUAUUGGAUGCACCCGAGUCAUUAUGUGCAACAAUUCUUCGAGCCAAAUAUUACCCUGAUGGGGAUCUGUUAAAUGCUACUCUAAAGAAGAAGGCCUCCUAUACUUGGCAAAGUAUAAUGGAGGGUGUCAAAACACUCAAACUUGGGCAUAUUUGGCGUAUCGGAGACGGACAGAAGGUAAAUAUGUGGACUGAUGCUUGGAUCCCUUAGUCUCCUUCAAGGCUGCCCAUUACUGUGAGAGGUAAUCAGUUACUAACUAAAGUUUCAGAUCUAAUUGACCCAACAACGGGACAAUGGGAUGUACAGCUGAUUAAGCAAACUUUUUGGCCGAUGGACGCUGAGAGGAUCCUGAAUAUUCCUCUCCCAUCUUUUGACAUGCCUGAUUUCUUGGCAUGGCAUCCCUCCAAGCAUGGUACCUUCUCGGUGAGAUCGGCUUACCUAGAGGUGUGGAAAAACUGUUAUGAAAGUAAAGUGAAAAGAGGAAACAGUCCAAGUGCUGCAGCUUCAAACCCGAUAUGGGAUUUCAUUUGGAAACUUCCAUAUCCAGCUAAGAUAAGGAUCUUUCUCUGGAGAACUCUACAUGGCACGCUUCCUUGCCGUGUAAACUUAGCAGAUCGGCAUAUGAAACUAUCCACGAAGUGUCCUGCUUGCGAAGAAGCUGAAAGUGUUAAGCACAUGCUCUUUUUAUGCCCAAAAGCAAAGCAAGUAUGGUAUAUGCUGGGUCUCCAGGAGGUGAUUGAGCGGGGAUGCGCUGUCGACCGAGCAGGAGAAGUUGUUCUUGAAUAUUUGUUAUCUGUUCCUGCAAAUAAGACAAUGGUUCUAGGGCAAGGAAAAGGACCUUUGAUCAUUGCUAUCGCAUGCUGGUUCUUGUGGUGGGAAAGGAGGAAGCUGGUUCAUGGGGAACACACUCAACAACCAAACCAAAUUGUUCUAUCUAUCCGUGCCCUUGCUGAGAACUUCUCGGCGGCUGCUACUAGUUCUGCAAAAGAAAAGAGAAACCCAUGGAAGAGACCGCCAACAGGAUAUGUCAAACUAAACGUCGAUGCCUCGUUUGAUGCUGAUUCACUUCAAGGAACUGUGGGUGCUGUUUUGCGUGAUUGUAAGGGGCUGUUUUUGGCAGCAAGUAACAAUGUAGCUGGGGCCUGUACAGAUGUGUUCAUGGCAGAAGCUCUAGCACUCCGGUUUGGUUUAAAUCUGGCAACAUCGGUUGGCUGUUCAAAGGUGAUUGUUAACUCCGACAGUUCAGACGUAAUUUUGGCUAUGCAGGAUGGGGAAUACAUCAGGCUCCUUUGCUGCAAUUUUGGAUGA